AUUCGAUCGUGGCUCAGAUGGAACGCUGGCGGGAUGCUUUACACAUGCAGAGUCGAACGGCACAGUUCCGGUCUGGUGGCGAGUGGCGAACGGGUGAGUAAUGUAUCGGAACGUGCCUAGUAGCGAGAUGUGUUUACGCAAAGCGUAACCUAACCACAUCGCCGCCCUUCGGGGGAAGCAGGGGGACCUUCGGGCCUCGCACUAUUAAACGGCGAUAUCGGAUCAUCGUUGAUCGGGUAACGGCUCACCAAAGAGCCGACGAAAUCACUCAGCUGGUUUGAGAAGGAUGACCAGCCACUGGGACUGAGACCACGUGCAGACUCCUGCAGGAGGCGGCAAGUGGGGAAUUUUGGACAAUGGAGGAAACCUGAUCCAGCCGCUCCGCUGAUAACUACCGAUAGGCCUUCGGGUUGUAAACACUUUGGCAGGAAAGAAACGGCGGAUAUGCCCAGCCUGACGGUACAGAAUAAGCACCGGCUAACUACGUGCCAGCAGCCGCGAUGAUAGCCAUGAAGUGCAGCGUUAAUCAGAUACUGGGCGUAAAGCGUGCGCAGGCGGUUCGGAAAGAAAGAUGUGAAAUCCCAGAGCUUAGCUUUGGAACUGCGACUGCUAACUACCGAGCUGGGGUAUCCAGAGGGAGGUGGAAUUCCGCGUGUGUUAAAUGCGUAGAUAUGCGGAGGACUUCGAUGGCGAAGGCAACCUCACUGAGGAUAACACUGACGCUCAUGCGAAAGCAUGAAGACAAACAAGUUGAUGCCCUGAUCACUACUAACGAUCAACUUCUUAGCUGUUUGAGGGCUGAACGCUGCAAUGGCGCAAGCUUAACAUGAGACCGGUGACUUAUGGGAGGCGGUCGCAAGAUUAAAACUCAAGGAAUUGACGGGGACCCGCACAAGCGGUGGAUGAUGUGGAUUAAUUCGAUGCAACGCGAAAAACCUUACCUACCCUUGACAUGUCUGGAAUCCCGAAGAGAUUUGGGAGUGCUCGCAAAGAGGAACUUCCGGAACACAGGUGCUGCAUGGCUGUCGUCAGCUCGUGUCGUGAGAUGUUGGAUUCGGCGAUCCCCUGUUCAAACUGCUUGUCAUUAGUUGCCUCGAGGAGCACUCAAUAAUUUACCGAGUGACAAACCGGAGGAAGGUGGGGAGAUGAAAAAUCAAUUAUCCUCAUGGCUGUCGAUGAGCCUACCGUCAUACAAUGAAUGGACGAAGGGUCGCCAACCCGCGAGGAGGAGCCAAUCCCGAAACUGAUCAUGAAUCAGGUCGCAGUCUGCAACUCUGACUGCGUGGAAGUCGAAUCGCUAGUAAUCGCGGAUCAGCAUGUCGCGGUGAAUACGUGGGUCUUGGCACCACACCCUUACGUCACGGCAGAAUUGGGUUUUUAAAGUAGUUAGCCUAACCGUAAGGAGGGCGAUUACCACGGUAGGAUUGUUGACUGGGGUGAAGUCGUAACAAAGGUAG
This 1457-nucleotide ribosomal RNA is filed under the name uncultured Bordetella sp. Its description in RNAcentral is "partial 16S-23S ribosomal RNA intergenic spacer". It matches the Rfam family "Bacterial small subunit ribosomal RNA". The record is from RNAcentral. Lineage: Bacteria; Pseudomonadati; Pseudomonadota; Betaproteobacteria; Burkholderiales; Alcaligenaceae.